CACUCUUUAUAAGAAUUGUUCUAAGUCUCAAUGGAAAAGAGAGAGAUCAUGUGAUAAAGAGAGGUAUCUCUUUGUUUAUACAAGGAAGAAGCUAGGGCUUCAUAGUAUGAUGAACCUAAUUUAUUAGCCUUGUUCUUUUUACGAACGCUGGGGACCAGCGUCAGUAACUGAAAAGUACAUCUUCACCAUCGGAAAUGCAGCGCCGUUAAUACAAGACAAACAUACUUUUCAGCCGCGCGGUUAGACGCAAUAACAAAAUUAGACGCUGGAAAUAUCAGCGAUAGCAGCGUCUUCAUUUUUAGUCGCUGCGGCAAGCUCCGGUAGUUUAAUUCACUUUCAAAAUCGAUCAUCUUGUCUCCACCCAAAUGUUAUUCUUUGUCGCUACCGCCGGCCGCAGCGGCUAUGAAAAGAACAGGGCUAUUGUCUAAUGAACCUUGAAAGAGGAUGUAAAUCCACCCCCAAAAUUAUUUAUUUCUCGUCUAGCAGUUUUAACUCCAUUUUAUAUAAAAG
Molecule: long non-coding RNA, 510 nt
Filed under: Brassica napus (rape)
Lineage: Eukaryota; Viridiplantae; Streptophyta; Magnoliopsida; Brassicales; Brassicaceae
Description: long non-coding RNA (BNAP_LNC023268)
Source: RNAcentral